This 71-nucleotide transfer RNA is filed under the name Camelus bactrianus (Bactrian camel). It matches the Rfam family "tRNA". From Rfam's summary of the family: Transfer RNA (tRNA) molecules are approximately 80 nucleotides in length. RNAcentral also lists the same sequence under 2 other names. Lineage: Eukaryota; Metazoa; Chordata; Mammalia; Artiodactyla; Camelidae. The record is from Rfam by way of RNAcentral.
GAGGGUAUAGCUCAGUGGCAGAGCACAUGCUCAGUAUGCACGAGGUCCAGGGUUCAAUCCCAGUAACUCCA